AAGUCGAACGAGAAAACCUUCGGGUGAGUAAAGUGGCGCACGGGUGAGGAACGCGUAGGUAAUCUACCCUCUGGCGGGGGACAACACUCCGAAAGGAAUGCUAAUACCGCGUAAGACCCCACCUACUACGGUAGGAGAGGUUAUAGGUGCCCUUAAAGCACCACCAGAGGAUGAGCCUGCGUCCCAUCAGCUUGUUGGUGAGGUAAAAGCUUACCAAGGCGAAGACGGGUAGCUGGUCUGAGAGGAUGAUCAGCCACACUGGUACUGGAACACGGACCAGACUCCUACGGGAGGCAGCAGUGAGGAAUAUUGGGCAAUGGGCGAAAGCCUGACCCAGCCACGCCGCGUGUGUGAUGAAGGCCUUCGGGUCGUAAAGCACUGUGGGGAGGGACGAACCUACGCAGGAGGAAAUGCCUGCGUACUGACGGUACCUCCUUAGCAAGCACCGGCUAACUCUGUGCCAGCAGCCGCGGUAAUACAGAGGGUGCAAACGUUGCUCGGAUUUACUGGGCGUAAAGCGCGUGUAGGCGGACUCGCAAGUCGGUUGUGAAAUCCCUGGGCUCAACCUAGGAACUGCAUCCGAAACUGCUUGUCUUGAGU
Molecule: ribosomal RNA, 600 nt
Filed under: uncultured bacterium
Lineage: Bacteria
Description: bacterial SSU rRNA
Rfam family: Bacterial small subunit ribosomal RNA
Source: RNAcentral